Long non-coding RNA from Daphnia magna, 1276 nucleotides. RefSeq lists it as uncharacterized. The transcript has 2 exons. The record is from RefSeq and is a predicted model, not a curated record. Lineage: Eukaryota; Metazoa; Arthropoda; Branchiopoda; Diplostraca; Daphniidae.
CCUGGACGAAAAUAAAAAUAUUAAGGACACAAUCCCGUUAUUAUUAUCAGAAGAAAAGAGACGGCAAUGAAGCAUUUCAGGGCCGCGCUAUUUAUGCGACGAAUAACGUGACAACACAACUAUCUCUACCCUCCUUGAAAAAAUGACAUUUUUUUUUUAUCUGUCACGUCUAUGUUCAGAUUAUAAUGCACUCGUUGUUUUAUUAUCCCGACAGCCUUAUAUAUAUAUGUGUAAUUAAAGAAUUGUAUUAUAUACGAGGGCACUUGACAACAAUCAACUGGAUUAGAGAGCCAAAAUAAUCAAAUCUGAAGGUAUUAGAGCAUCUCGUUGUCGUCGACCGGACGUCAGUAAUUAUUAAAAAUCUUGGAAUUACGUUGGAUUGAGGCCAAAUGUUUUCUAGAUCCCUGGAAACGAGCAACGAAAGCUCUUUAAACUUUCCCGGCAAACGGAAAUCGCAGAGUUAUUUUACCCCAGGUGAAAAAAACAAAACAGACAGGUGCACAACAGGAAUCAGAAAAAAACAAACAAGUUUCCUGUCUAAUAAGAAAAAAUGUGAAGCAAUCAAAUGAUAAGGGAAAGAAGGAAAAUGUUUCGUGUUUGCGUCAUCGAUUUCUUCACGAAGGCGCAAAAAGGGGACAAGGAAAGUGGCGACAAUACUGUCGACUGCAAUUGGAUUAGACACUUUGUCAACUAGGCCGUAACAAUCAAGUGUUCGUGAGCGAGUGUCGAAAAGACCUUCUUGAGGGGGUGCGUGUCGGCAGGGACUUGAAGAAAACAUUCCCGAAAAUGUGUCCAUAUAGAUUUUCGUCUUCAAGGGGACGCGGCGGCAAUUAGAAACGAGUGCACGAGCCAAUAAACACAUUUAAAGGGGGAAAAAAAAAUAUUUAAAAACAAAAUUUUUCAACGUGUGUGGUCGUGAAAAAAAAAACACGCUCGUCUUAGACGUCCUGUUAUUACGACUUUGGUUACUCAUCGGCUCCCCCCACCUUCUUCUUUUUCUAGGUUUCUCCAGUUGGCUGGACGACUGGAAUGUGCCUCCAGUUCGAAAAAGAAAAAAAAUGUGGCAAACGAACAACGGAACCCAAGAAAAUGAGAAAAAAAAAUCAUGGCUAAUCACGAACUGGACAACACAUGACAUUCCCUAGAAAAAACGAUGUUCACGCACGAAUGCUCCAAACUCUCACCCUCGUGUAUCUACUUUCAUCUCACGUGGAUAUGAUUAAACCCUCAAAGGCUUUUCUUUUUCUUUUUGGUGAACAAGGAUCUACUUUCCAGC